RNAcentral lists this ribosomal RNA (253 nucleotides) under uncultured bacterium. Its description in RNAcentral is "partial 16S ribosomal RNA". It matches the Rfam family "Bacterial small subunit ribosomal RNA", at positions 524 to 776 of the family's 1533-position model. The record is from RNAcentral.
UACGUAGGGUGCAAGCGUUGUCCGGAAUUAUUGGGCGUAAAGAGCUCGUAGGCGGUCUGUUACGUCUGCUGUGAAAACCCAGGGCUUAACCCUGGGCUUGCAGUGGAUACGGGCAGACUAGAGGCAGGUAGGGGAGAAUGGAAUUCCCAGUGUAGAGGUGAAAUUCGUAGAUAUUGGGAAGAACACCGGUGGCGAAGGCGGCGCUCUGGACCGAGACUGACGCUGAGGCGCGAAAGCGUGGGGAGCAAACAGG